GAACUGAAGAGUUUGAUCAUGGCUCAGAUUGAACGCUGGCGGCAGGCCUAACACAUGCAAGUCGAGCGGUAGAGAGAAGCUUGCUUCUCUUGAGAGCGGCGGACGGGUGAGUAAUACCUAGGAAUCUGCCUGAUAGUGGGGGAUAACGUUCGGAAACGGACGCUAAUACCGCAUACGUCCUACGGGAGAAAGCAGGGGACCUUCGGGCCU
This 210-nucleotide ribosomal RNA is filed under the name Pseudomonas helleri. RNAcentral describes it as "partial 16S ribosomal RNA". It matches the Rfam family "Bacterial small subunit ribosomal RNA", at positions 1 to 218 of the family's 1533-position model. The record is from RNAcentral. Lineage: Bacteria; Pseudomonadati; Pseudomonadota; Gammaproteobacteria; Pseudomonadales; Pseudomonadaceae. RNAcentral also lists the same sequence under 4 other names.